ACGAUAAGGACGCUGGAGGAUUCGAGGGAGGGAGGGAGAGAGAGAGAGCGACUCUGAGAGCGAAGAAAUAAUCGAGAUUUGGGUUUGUUUUGGAAGAGGUUCCGUUUCAGUAGAGAGAGAGGGAGAGACAGAAACACUGAGACGAGUGUGAUAGAUAAGAGAAGAGCGAUCCGCAGAGAGAUCGGGUGUGAUAGAUUCCCGUCACUACGGACUACUAUACUCAGCAAGAGCAGCCGGACGGACUACUAUACUAUAAGCAUACUUUCAUUGUGUUGGAUAAGCAAUUGGUUGCGGGAGAGUUCAAACAUGUAGAGGCCCAUGUGGAAGCCAUGGUAGGUGAUGAUGUGAAUUUAUAUAUGAAUGACCUGGGGUAUUCUCCUUUUCCUAUCAGGCUUGCUUCUUCAGACAGUUUUUCAGGUCAGUUACUAUGAUUACCUGACUCUGAGGCAUGGUUUUAUCUCAGACAAUCACAAUUGUCUAAAGAAUAGUCUUUGCUUCCUCACUUUCUGCCUAGGAUGAUUUCCAACACUAUCAAUGACCACCAGCUCAGUCAUAAUAAGAAUUGAAAGCAUCACAAGAUUGACAAAAAGCAUGCUUUGGCUGCACAAGCUGUUCAUUCGCAGAAGACCAGCAAAACCAAAGCUAUAAAACAAUGCAGUUUAUCUGGCUUCUGUAGGAUCAAAAGCACACAGAAAAUUUUCUUGCAUACAGGAAAGGAUUAAAACCACAUAGCUCAGCAUAUUGACCAAAGAGAAAAAAAGCUGAACUUCCAAACCUUCCAUCAUUCCAUUCAUGUCUCUCUUGGAAUGCGCACGCAAGUCCAUGCACUCAAAACAAAGGCCCAUCUGGAUGCAUCAAGUUCAAAAAGAUCUCUCAUUCUAAUUUUGUCUCUGAGAAGUAAGUGGAGUUGAGCAACACAUAGAAGCUCAACAGUAUAAUUGUCUGUACAAGCAACUAUCAUUUGCAGUAACACCCGGUCACAACCUACAUUAGCUGCAGACGAAUCAUCUCGAAGGACCUCAUGUGAACAGUUUGUUUGAACUACAAAUGUAGCUAUUUUUGUUGACACCUAACCAAUUUUGUAUAGCAAAACAGCUUUGCUUAGGAAAUCAAUUUUGCAACCAAAUUAAAAUACCAGAUUCUACUUGGUAUUUCCACUUUUGUAAUAUAACUAUAUAAUAUUCCGUAAAAACAAUGAAUCUAUAAAUUUGACAAGAAAAAAA
This is a long non-coding RNA of Rosa rugosa (rugosa rose), 1223 nucleotides long. RefSeq lists it as uncharacterized. Lineage: Eukaryota; Viridiplantae; Streptophyta; Magnoliopsida; Rosales; Rosaceae. The record is from RefSeq and is a predicted model, not a curated record. The transcript is spliced from 8 exons.